GAGGUUGUGGCUCAGUGGUAGAGCGCUCACCUAGCAUGUGUGAGGAGCUGGGUUCGAUCCUCAGCACCACA
RNAcentral lists this transfer RNA (71 nucleotides) under Marmota monax (woodchuck). RNAcentral's name for it is "tRNA.Ala". It matches the Rfam family "tRNA". From Rfam's summary of the family: Transfer RNA (tRNA) molecules are approximately 80 nucleotides in length. The record is from RNAcentral. Lineage: Eukaryota; Metazoa; Chordata; Mammalia; Rodentia; Sciuridae.